GAGUUUGAUCUUGGCUCAGAACGAACGCUGGCGGUAUGCCUAACACAUGCAAGUCGCACGAGAAAGUCUUCGGAUGAGUAGAGUGGCGCACGGGUGAGUAACGCGUAGGUGACCUGCCGAAUAGUGGGGGAUAACACGAAGAAAUUCGUGCUAAUACCGCAUAUGGACGACGAACCUGAGAGUAGUCGUCGAAAGAGCGCCUCUUUACAAUGCGCUCGCUAAUCGAUGGGCCUGCGUAGCAUUAGCUAGUUGGUGGGGUAACGGCCUACCAAGGCGAUCGAUGCUUAGCGGAUCUGAGAGGAUGAUCCGUCACACUGGAACUGAGAUACGGUCCAGACUCCUACGGGAGGGCCAGCAGUGGGGAAUAUUGCGCAAUGGACGAAAGUCUGACGCAGCAAUACCGCGUGAGUGAGGAAGGCCUU
Molecule: ribosomal RNA, 422 nt
Filed under: uncultured delta proteobacterium
Lineage: Bacteria; Deltaproteobacteria
Description: bacterial SSU rRNA
Rfam family: Bacterial small subunit ribosomal RNA
Source: RNAcentral